AGGCUUUGCUGAAUGACUCCGCUUGUGCAUAAAAAUGCUCUGAACCUCAAACACCGAGCUGCACUUGUGCACCAGGAGUUCCAGACUUGGAAGCUAGCAAGCAAGAAGACCUACAGCAAGAUAAAGCACCUCCAUACAGCUUUUACCUGCUAAUAGCAUUUCUAUCAUUGCAAGAUCUGGCAAGAGAGUCAAACGCCACGUUUUCCCAAAGGCCCUGCGCGUAGUGCAGCAGCUGAGCAGCGUCCCUCAGCUUCUGGAGGAUUUGGAGUGCACACGGGACACCUCCGCUUUGACCUCAAUACAUGAACGUGCACAAGGAAUUUCCCCUGAACAUUUAUUAUCC
Long non-coding RNA from Grus americana (Whooping crane), 343 nucleotides. RefSeq lists it as uncharacterized. NCBI's taxonomy places the organism in Eukaryota, Metazoa, Chordata, Aves, Gruiformes, Gruidae. The transcript has 3 exons. The record is from RefSeq and is a predicted model, not a curated record.